RNA transcript from Lynx canadensis (Canada lynx), 3015 nucleotides. RefSeq lists it as uncharacterized. The transcript is spliced from 4 exons. The record is from RefSeq and is a predicted model, not a curated record. Lineage: Eukaryota; Metazoa; Chordata; Mammalia; Carnivora; Felidae.
AGCAAAGUAGCCAUGUGAAGUCUUUGAUCGCCUUGCAUGCAGCAAGUGCUUGUUGUUUUGUUUUUGGAUGGGUUGCAUGUUCUAGCAAUAAUUUCCUCUGCGUAUGACAGAUGCAUUUGCUGAACCACAAACUGGACUCUUCUGACAAGCACGAGCACACUUCGCGGAACAACAGGAAAUAGCACUGGACAUUAGGACCAGCACAGAAACGAGUAAGAGGCAUACCUUGUGCAUUUACAAGUUAAUUCCUCGACCCAGAGAUUGUGCGACAUUUUGUUCCUUUGAAGAGUUCUGGUGAGUCUCUUUUCCAGGGGUCUGCAUACUCCUGGCCUGUGGGCCAAAGCUGGCCUGAUGCCUGUUUUUCUUCCUGUUUUGCUGUUGGUGAGGCUGCUGUAGAAUCUCAUGGAAAACGAAAUCCAGAAAAAAACCCACUCAGCUCACCUGAGUCAACUCAUUGCCAAAGUUGAAUGCCCAUAAAGAUAAAUGAUCAUCUAGCCAUGGGUGGCAGGAUAUUCGUGCUUUAUUUCCAGCGGAUCUCCACAAAUCGGAAGGCACACAAAAUUUAUUUCCUGUGUUACGUAAUUAUUGGCCUAACUCUAAAACACAUUUAAGUAUUAUCAAAAUUUAGAAGUGCAUUGGGAGAAAGAAGUAAGUGUGUGCAAAUAGAAAAUCAAUUGACAAGUGGAAUUUACCAGAGGACAGCAUUGCUGGUGCGUUCCCUGGUGGCCGCGUGGCCACCCUCAACGUCACAGCCAAGACGGGCAUUUGGUUAAGUAUUGUGGCUGUCGAUACAGAUGAAGUCUAAUGGGACAAUGGAGCAUGUGUGCGAGCAGAGGCGAUAGGUGUCUGUCUGCUGUUUCUUACCGGCCACUUGCACACAGCGUUUGUGAUGACCCAUGCACACAGAAGUCCAGCAGACCCAGCACGUGUGGGAGUUCAGCAAGACUCAAAUGUACCACGGCCGGACACUAAGUUCUCAGUCGACAGACCUGCAUUUACCGAAUAUGAGUUUAAUACCCAUAUCAUCAUCAUGCUUCGUGACUCUCAAGAAAACUGUUAAAAAGUUGACACAAACCACCAUGGAUACCCUGGGUUGAACUGCUGGAAAAGAUUAGUUGAAAAAUAUGCUGAGGUCAUCAGCUCCGUCGGGACCAGUCCCAAGUCUCUGGUCUCCACCAGUUAACACUGUACCUGAUAGAGAGUUGAUGUCUAGGGAAUGUUGGCUGCAUUAUUUGUGGAAUCUGUCAUUGCAUUAUCAGCAACAGGAGGGAAACCAGUCCCACUGAGUUUCCGAUUAGGCAGUUUAUUAGAAAUUAUUUUAAAAACCCACAUGUAAAUAUAGAUAAGGACACCAAAGCAAAACAUAAUGGAUUAUCUCUCUACCUAUAUUUUCUGCACCAGAGGGCAGCCGCAGGGGAGAGAAGUGAGGGACAAGAGGGAGGGGUUUCUUGACUGAAAGAUUUGCUCCUCUUAAUGGUUCCAACCCUUCACAACCACCUCUCCAUGAUGGGCUGACUUACCACUCCCUUAACUCGCCUCUUAGGACCUCAGAGUGGUAGCCGGUCAGAUACUAUUAGACCUGGACACUGAACUAUCCCUUUGAUUCCUCUAAAACCACAGUCUUAUAAUAAUCAUUUUGUAAAUAACCCUUCCUUGAGUCAUCCUAAUUUUUGUGUAUGUUACCUGUUGGAGCCUUGGUUGAUACUCUUUUUAUGUGGAAUUUGGAAUGACAGUAUUCAAUGAGCUAAGAUGUUGACUAGCAAAAAGGCCCAAUAUACAGCGGCUUAAAAAAUGUUGGAAUUUAUUUAUCUUUCAUGUUACAAUCAGAGGAAAGUAGGCAGUGUAGGACUGGGAAGACGCUGUCUCCCCUGAUAUAUGUCUUCCCCUGGGUAAAUGGAUCCAGGUGAGUGGCAUCGUUUUAGGAUCUCCCAGCCGGCAGUAGUGAGGGAAACAACCAAGGGAGCUCAUACACUAUCCUUUGAAGAAUAAGACCUCAGAGUGGAACUCAUCACCCCUCACACUUCAUGAGCAUUACCUUAGGGUCAUGGCUGCAGUUAGGUGACCGACAGGCUGGCAAAUGCCAUCUUUCUUUAGGCAACAUGUGCCCUGCUGACAUUCUAUUACUAUGGAAGCAGAAGAAAAUUGUUCUGGGAAUAUGACCAAGGUAAGUCCAGAGGCUCAUUUUAUUUCAAGGCGAGGUAGUCAGGCACUGACUCUAUCCCAGGGUUAUAAUAUUCAAUAAGAUGCUUCUUCCUUUCAAUGAAUUAAUGACUCAGUUAUAGAUAGGCACUAAGAUAAUUUCAACCCCGUAUAUGGGACGUGAGAAAGGUCUUGUGCAAGUGCUACAGAAGCACGGAGGAAGACAGAGUCCAGGUUUAUGGCUCCGUAAAGGCAUAAGAGAGCAGUAUUUGCGCUGUGCUUGAGACCAGGAUCACAAACUGAUGCCUUGUUGCCAAGCUAAUCACCAGUGAAGGUGCCCGUCCUUCCGUGGAGAGGAAUCCAUGACAAUGUAAAGGUCUGCCAAGCUCCUGCCCUUUGAUGGAAACCAAACUAAGUGCAUCUUUCUGCGUGAUGUUGCUAUAGCUUUUGCCACACAGCACAAGAGAAACCCACUCACUUAAUCCUGAGAUUUACUGAUUUACCCUGAGGUCACGGCCUGAGUCCGCGGAAGCUGGAAAUGGCCUGACGUAGAAAGAGACUGAUCUUGGGGUUUCACAUCCCCUUGCAGCAAGAGAACAGCAAAGUAUGGGAACAGCGCAGCCUUUCAUAAGGGGAUCUUGGGCCACACUGCACCAACAACGACAUCAAGCUGUUAUCAUUCUCCCUGAGGCCAGACGUGUGUUCUAAUAUCAGAACAUCUGAGACCCAGAGUGAGGACAUGUCUGAAAAAGGAACAGUGGCCUUCAUUUAUUCAAAGAGAUUUAUCGAAAAUCUGCUACAUACCACACAACGUGCAAGAAACUGACGAGUUUCUCCUGAUCCCUUUGUCCUCAUAAUAAAUCUUGAUUCAUAUAA